Molecule: long non-coding RNA, 2789 nt
Filed under: Homo sapiens (human)
Lineage: Eukaryota; Metazoa; Chordata; Mammalia; Primates; Hominidae
Description: HSALNT0023394
Rfam family: mir-1255 microRNA precursor family (bases 740-805)
Source: RNAcentral
GGCCACACUAACAACGGAUUUUCAAUGCACACAAAACAGCCUUCUAUUAGAAGCAGAUGCCAUCCAGAACUCUCAUAGCUAGAAAGAAGCCAAUGCCUGGCUCCAAAGCUUCAAAGGACAGGGUGACUCUCUUGUUAGGGGCUCAUGCAGCUAGCGACUUCAAAUUAAAGCCAAUGCUCAUUCACCAAUUACAACAAUUCUAAGGCCCUUAGGAAUUAUGUUCAAUCUACUCUACCUGUGCUGUAUAAAUGAAACAACAAAGCCUACAUGACAGCACAUCUGUUUACUGCAUGGUUUACUAUUUUAAGUCCAUUAAAAUAUUAAAAUAGCCAUUAACACAACAUUCAAGUCUUAUUAACUUUCAAGUUAACUUCCAUAAUUAACUUUCAAGUCUUAUUAUUUAAGACAUUUCAUAAGGCUACAGCUGCCUUAGACAAUGAUUCCUCUGAUGGAUCUGGGAGAAAAUUUUUAAAAACCUGCUGGAAAGGAUUCACCAUUCUAGAUGCCUUAAGAACAUUCAUGAUUCAUGGGAGGAGGUCAAAACAGCAACAUGAACAGGAGUUUGGAAGAUGUUGAUUCCAGCCCUCAUGGAUGACUCUGAGCGAUCCCGGACUUCAGGGGAGGAAGUCACUGCAGAUGUGGUGGAAACAGCAAGAGAACGAGAAUUGGAAGUGGAGCCUGGAGAUGGGACUGAAUUGCUGCAGUCUCAUGAGAAAACAUGAAUGGAUGACAAGUUGCUUCUUAUGGAUGAACAAAGGAAGUGUUUUCUUGAGAUGGAAUCUACUUCUGGUGAAGAUGCUGUGCACACGGUUGAAAUGACAACAAAGGAUUUAGAAUUGACAUCAACUUAGUUGAUAAAGCAGUGGCAGGGUUUGAGAAGAGUGACUCUAAUUUUUAAAGAUGUUAUGUGGGUAAACUGCUAUCAAACAGCAACACAUGCUACAGAGAAGUCUUUUGAAUGGAAGUCAAUUGAUGUGACAAACUUCAUUGUCUUAUUUUAAGAAAUUGCCACAGCAACCCCAAACUCCAGCAGCCACCACCCUAAUUAGUCAGCAGCCACCAACAUUGAGGCAAGACCCUCCCCCAGCAAAAAGAUGGCAAUUCACUGAACACUCAGAUGAUCAUUAGCAUUUUUUAGCAACAAAGUAUUUUAAAAUUAAGGUACAUACAUUGGCUUUUUUAGACAUAAUGCUACUGCAUACUUAGUAGACUACAUUACAGCCUAUAAAAGCAUUUUAUAUGCACUUGGAAACCAAACAUUUCAUGGGACUUGCUUUAUUGCAGUAUUUGCUGUAUUGCAAUGGUCUAGAAGCAAACCCAUGGUUUCUCCAAGGUAUGCCUUUUAGUUUGACCCCAGACUGCACUCCAAAGCAGCGGCCUUAUUCUACACUCCUCACAGCACCUCUGGGCUCACCUAAUGUGCCAUCAUCACUCAGACUUCAACAUCACCUAGUGCUGCAGUUCCCACCACCCGCCCGAACCACCCCCGCCCCAACCCACCCCGAGCUAAAGCAGUAUCUCAUUAUGGUUUUAAUUAUGAUUCUCCAGUUACUAAAUAGUUUAAGCAUCUCCUUAUAUUUUGCUGCUGUCAACCUCAUGAAAUAAUAGCUACUCAGUUAGGUAAUGUAGAAGGUAAAAUGGCCCCAAGCAUUUUUAUCUCCUCUCUUUGGCCACAGGAUCCUGAAACUGAAAACGACCUUUGGGUCCCAACUAUCCACGGCUUUCCCACAAAGCUCUGAAAAUAAGAGUUGAGAAAAAAGUAUUGAGCUACUGGACAAAUACAUCAGUGUCUUGAGAAUGUGUCCCCUACCUUCCAGCAAACAAACUGUUGCUUUUCUAUGCAGUGCCUGGCCUCAGUUUCCUUCCACAUGUCACCCACAGCCAGCCUCGGAGAUCCUCCUGCCUAGGGCUGCCCUUGACCAGAGAGAUCUGGUUGCAGCAAAGCCACAGGGACACCAGUGGCUCCUCAGAGCUUGCGUGGUCAAGGGCUGAGGAAGGGCGUCUGUUUCAAGCCAUUUCUAUAAAACACCCUGUGGGAGCAGACCUGAAGGAGAGGGGCAACCGCCACACAGGUAUGGGGGAGAAAUGUUCCCUGGAGAUCAGAGGCCGAGGCAGGGCCCACCUGGCUUGCUGCUCUUGCUUAGUUUUUAUUUUCAUUGUUUUAAUAAAUUUCAUUGUGUAUAUUUAAGGUAUGCAACGUGAUGUUACAAAGUACAAACAGAUAGCAAAAUGGUCACUACAGGGGAGCAAUUAACAUUCCCAUCACCUCCCAGAGUCAACCACUUUUAGGAUUUUGUGGCAAGAGCAGCUGAAGUCUAGUCAUUUAGCAGGAACUCCCAAAACAGUGCAAUUUUAUUACCUACAUUCCUCCUGUUGUACAUCGGAUCACCAGACUGGUUCAUCCUACAUAUUUUAAAGUAGAAACCCAUCUACCUGCUGGGUUGAGAAUGCAUUGUUGGAGCAGCGGGAGGAGAUGAGGUCCCCAGGUCUCCUGGGCAGAAGAGGACAGUGCCAGUGGGCCACGGUGGGGGACUGGCGGGGAGCAGGUAAGAUGAGGUCAAGGUCUUUGGCUACAGGAAGAGCCUGCAGGAUUCCUUUGCAGACCUAUUGUGGACUGUUAGAGAAAACAACUCAGAGACAGCUCUGAGAUGUCUGAGGACUGCAGGGAUUGGGCCCCUGGGCAAGUCUGGGAUGGAGGCAGUGGUUGGACCUGGAAGAGGGUUUGGGAGAGAGACCCACGUCAGAGAGGCAAGUGUGAGGUGGGUUUAGCCAGAGCCCCCUCAGCCCUG